AGUGUCUAUAAUAAAUAGGUCAGAAGCGUGCUUUGACCAAAAACUACAUUUCCCACAAUGCUUGUCGAUUGUGUUACCCUCGAAGUUACGGCUUACUGUCACCACACGGCAGUGUAGUCAUUGAUGUGGAAACCCUGCCGGAGGGAAGGCGUAACUUCGCGGGUGGACAUACAAAUGUUGAUCCCAUAAUGUCCAGAAAAAGAGAAGUUGAUGCAGACGGACGGCUGUGCUUCAAGGCAAAAGACCGGUAUGCCUUUUGUGUUACGAAGAGUGUUACUGACCAAAAUAAACGCUUUUUAGGAGAGAUAUAAUAGUUUUAAUGACGUUAAUAAACAUCACAGUGACAGCGCUAGUCACAGUUUCACCGCAGCAAAGGACGAGGAUGUGAAUCACUUAUCUAACCAACCAGUACUGAUUUCUGCCCCCAAUAACCCUUUCAAUAACCUCCAAUAGCCUUUAAUAGUCUUCAGUAGCCUUCAACAGUCUAACCUUGCAGCCGUGGUGUGUCCACUAAACUCCGUAGUUAUAAACAUCAUGAGGUUAGCAGCGCGCUAACUGACCUGUUUAUAAUGUAAUCCGAGCAGUGACUCCGUGACGGCUGCUGUUAGCUGCUUGGGCUGAAAGAUGAACUGUAGAGAGCUGUAUUAUCUGGUUAGUGGGGUUAAAACCUUUAUUUCAUACACGGAAGAACUUAAAAUUUUUAAAAACGCUCCAGACUGGCUCAGCUGAUCCCUGUAGCCCGUGGCUGGAGGAGCCGCUCGCUGCAGCCUGUAGGAAGGCGGAGUUGGACAUCCAACCCCGCCCACAUCCAACUCCGCCCAUGUCCAACUCCGCCUUACGUCUAAAGCAACACCCACCUUACGUCCGUCACGAACGCCUACAUUUACUCCCGGUAAACAGGAGUUGUAGCCGAGAAAGCAGCUAAAGCAUCUAUCUGAUUUAUAUCUCCGGUUAUGGCGCAUCCAACACAUGUCCAGGCCACUCCUGACCCUUCACGGUUUGGCCAGUGUGGUGUUUUCAAAUGCCCCUGCUUCAGUUUUGACACUGACCAGCGAUUUAAUAACAGCCUACAUCUACAAAACCAUAUCAAACAAGCAGUCGAGAAUAACGGAAAGUUCAGCGUGUUGAACGUGUGACUGAUGAAGGAGAUAGAAUGGGCAACGUCUCCUUUGAACAGAUGCCCCUUAUUCUCAUAGAUACAGUUCUGGAAGAGGGUGACAAAGCUUUUUUAAAGCUGUCACUGGUUUGUCGUCUCUUCCGGGACAUUGUUUGGACAACAAUCAUUCCGGGCCCGGGCACAUUUCGAGUGGCUUGACAGUGUAGUGCCAUGAAAACAUCACAGUGCUGCAUGUAAAGACGAGUUUCGCAGGAUGUACGAACUGCAGUGCUGCCAGAACUGUCAAACUUAUAAAGACUACAUACUGGGCUACGUUGGGCAUGGGAGACGAGGGGAGCUUGUGGCAUUUUACAGCGAAAACGAGCACCCUGGAUUCUGCAGCCAGCUUCAUGAGUGGCUGGGUGUUUGAGUGGCUGGGUGUGUGAGUGGCUGGGUGUGUGAGUGGCUGGGUGUUGCAUUUUUAAAUAAAGACUUCUGUAUUUGUUUGACCAAAGCAUGUAACCAAACAUUUUAAAGGCUAGUGUGCCAAUAAAUGCCAAUAAAGAUAUUGUAUUAGCUUGGACAAAGUGUUUGUAAAUGGAGUUAAUUUCCCUGGGAACUACUGUCAGCCAUACAAAAUUGGGAGAGGAGAAGCAGGAGAGGGAUAUCAUUAUUAUUAUUAU
Astyanax mexicanus (Mexican tetra) is the source of this 1779-nucleotide long non-coding RNA. RefSeq lists it as uncharacterized. The record is from RefSeq and is a predicted model, not a curated record. The transcript is spliced from 6 exons. NCBI's taxonomy places the organism in Eukaryota, Metazoa, Chordata, Actinopteri, Characiformes, Acestrorhamphidae.